Pelobates cultripes (western spadefoot toad) is the source of this 577-nucleotide non-coding RNA. NCBI's taxonomy places the organism in Eukaryota, Metazoa, Chordata, Amphibia, Anura, Pelobatidae. The record is from the annotation of a GenBank genome assembly.
UUUUGUAAAUGUGAUAGCCCACAAAAUAUUGGGACAUACAACAAAAGAAACAUUUGCGGCCUGCGGUGCAUUUCUUGCAGUCCUGAUGCAUGGAGAAAAGGACUUCACAAGCCUCUGCUAUUGUGUACAUAGUUUAUACUAAGUGACCCAUAGGUAGAGAAAAAAAGACAACUCUGCUCUGCAGAGUAGCUGUUGACAUUAUAGUUGCGCAGGCACUUUGUUGACUCUAGAGAACCUUGGGCCAAUCGCACAUCCCCGUGGCGGCGACUUUGCAUGCGGAUGUCAUCCAUAUCAACUUUCGAUGCCAGUUUCUGCGCCUACCAUGGUAACCACGAGUAACGGGGAAUCAGGGUUCCAUUCUGUACAGGGACCCUGAGAAACGGCUACCACAUGCAAGGAAGGCAACAGGCGUGCAAAUGACCCACUCCCGACAUGGGAAGGUAGUGACGACAAAUAACAAUACAGGACUCUUUAGAGGUCCUUGAAUUGUAAUGAGUCCACUUGAAAUCCUUUAACUCUCUUCAAUUAGAGGGAAGUCUGGUGCAGAGCCACUGACCCGUGCGUGCUGCAGCUGAAA